This 440-nucleotide ribosomal RNA is filed under the name uncultured bacterium. RNAcentral describes it as "partial 16S ribosomal RNA". It matches the Rfam family "Bacterial small subunit ribosomal RNA", at positions 338 to 795 of the family's 1533-position model. The record is from RNAcentral.
CCUACGGGUGGCAGCAGUGGGGAAUAUUGCACAAUGGGGGGAACCCUGAUGCAGCGACGCCGCGUGAGCGAUGAAGUAUUUCGGUAUGUAAAGCUCUAUCUGCAGGGAAGAAAAUGACGGUACCUGACUAAGAAGCCCCGGCUAACUACGUGCCAGCAGCCGCGGUAAUACGGAGGGGGCAAGCGUUAUCCGGAUUUACUGGGUGGAAAGGGAGCGUAGACGGCUGUGCAAGUCUGGAGUGAAAGGGAUGGGCUCAACCUGUGGAUUGCUUUGGAAACUGUGCGGCUUGAGUGUAGGAGAGGUAAGUGGAAUUCCUAGUGUAGCGGUGAAAUGCGUAGAUAUUAGGAAGAACACCAGUGGCGAAGGCAGCUUGCUGGACGAUGACUGACGUUGAGGCUCGAAAGCGUGGGGAGCAAACAGGAUUAGAUACCCGAGUAGUC